Molecule: long non-coding RNA, 373 nt
Organism: Hibiscus syriacus
Lineage: Eukaryota; Viridiplantae; Streptophyta; Magnoliopsida; Malvales; Malvaceae
Exons: 3
Source: RefSeq, a predicted model, not a curated record
UUUCUUCAAUAAACUAACAUGAAAAACCGGAUGGAGACGGGAAGUCUCAGGGCAAGAGAGGUCUGUCUGUAGGGCUGUAAUUUUAGGCUAUUGGACUGAACACGUGGGCUAAACCUUCUCCAUUUGGGUUGACUGGGUUGUUGACUCCUCUUGGAUCCUUUUCUGGCCUGCUCCCCCAUUGCUUGAACUGGUCACGUGCGGCUCCACUUCAUCAGGUAACAUCCGUAGCCCUUCAAUUGCCAUAAUCCCUAAUUCCCCAAUCUCAUUUUCCUCUCGCCCUUCAAUCCCUAAUUCCCCUUUUUCAUUUCUCCUUCGCAUCUCACUCCCUACUUCACCGUUUUCCUCUUCGUUUCCAUGUUCUUCUCUUCCAACU